RNAcentral lists this long non-coding RNA (1419 nucleotides) under Gallus gallus (chicken). The record is from RNAcentral. Lineage: Eukaryota; Metazoa; Chordata; Aves; Galliformes; Phasianidae.
GUCCAAUUUAUCUUGAGAUCUGGAAUGCAUCUUUUUUGGCAGGAGGGGCUCAAGCACAAACCCGUCUGAGCCCGGCCGAGAAGGAGUGCUGUCCGACGAGAUGGAUGACACUGAGGCGACUGACAGCGGUCUCGAAGACGACGGCAUCGUGAAAGACCUCACCAUGGACCUUGGCCGACUGCCUCGUCUGUCAUCUAGGCUGGAAGGCACAGCUCGGACACCAUACUGCUUUUCAACUUUGUCCUUCAGCUGCCUGAAGCAAGCUUCCAUCCGCUCGUGGAACGGCCUCAGUGCCUCUGUCACCUUCUCACCAUGAAUACGGAUGCCCUCUGCCAGGAAUGGGAUCUGCCAAGCUAUCAGGUCCUUCAGUUUUUCAAUCUUGUCGUGAUCUUCCGGAUGCUCAUGCAUGUAUCUUUCAGUAAAAAAAGCCUUCUCAUAGUUGGUGAAACCUCCCAUGACUGCAGGAUCCACAAUGCCGUUCAGUAGCAUGGAGAGAGGGUUGAUGGGUAGAUUUGGAUCAUUUAGAUGUUGUUGAACCAUAUUAUUGAUCUUAUCGUUUGUUAGCUGCAUGGUUUCUAUUGCAUUUUCUAGUGGACUAAUUUCAACCAUGAAAACUGAUUUGACUUCAAACCACCUCAGAAUCCCUGGUAAUUUGUAUGCUGUCACAUAGAUGGUUCUCUCAAUCCACAUAUUCGCAAAUUCAUUGUCUGGGUUUUUCUCUCCCUUUCGAACGGGCCGUGAGUACUCAAACCGCUGGACUUCAUUCACUCUAUAGAAACUCACAAUUUGUUCUGACACUGGCUUGUGGAAUUUGGGUGGUAAAUCAAGCUUUGGCUUCACAGUAAAGCACUGGAUAUACUGUCCAGAGGAGCUUUUGAUCUCGUCACCCGGUGGAGAUGUUGUCUUCAUUUUCUCUGCAUUGGGAAACUGAGUUAACAACCUCGCUUCAAAGUCUUCACGCCGCUCAUACUCUUUUCCCCGGUAAAUGAAGACUUUGUUCCUUAUGAAAGUCGGAAAUCCCUGGCCAUAGUAUCCAACAGCAAAAUAAUCUGGUUUUGGUCUUAUCACUUUCACAAUGUUUUCAUAGAACUGAGCUUGUUUUCUCAGCAGUUCACUGAGUUGUUCAUAAUCAAACAUUUCAUUUUCAUACUGUUCUGCAAGUUCCUUACCCAAGGCAAUGGCCUCUUCCCACAUCUUGCCCUUGUCAAAGUAAUGGAUAAUUUCUUGAUAUAGCUGAUCUUUCAGCUGUCCUUGAGUAGCAGCCUGGUAUCCAUCCCGCUGGGUAAGAUGUGCUGCGCACGCUUCUUCUGACCACUUCAGAAGCUUUGCAUGCAGAAGCAACGUGUAGGCAGCUUCUGUGUAGUUAUCACAUUCUUUGUGCAGGUCACACAGCUUGUACAGGUAUCUUAUGUACAUUUC